RNAcentral lists this ribosomal RNA (451 nucleotides) under uncultured bacterium. Its description in RNAcentral is "partial 16S ribosomal RNA". It matches the Rfam family "Bacterial small subunit ribosomal RNA", at positions 28 to 523 of the family's 1533-position model. The record is from RNAcentral.
GAUGAACGCUGGCGGCGUGCCUAAUACAUGCAAGUCGAGCGGGAACACUUCGGGUGACGAGCGGCGGACGGCUGAGUAACACGUAGGAACGUACCCAAACUGAGGGUUAAGCACCGGAAACGGUGUCUAAUACCGCAUGUGGUCUUCGGAUUAAAGCUUCGGCGGUUUGGGAACGGCCUGCGCAUGAUUAGCUUGUUGGUGAGGUAAUAGCUCACCAAGGCGACGAUCAUUAGCUGGUCUAAGAGGAUGAUCAGCCAGACUGGGACUGAGAACGGCCCAGACUCCUACGGGAGGCAGCAGUAGGGAAUCUUCCACAAUGGGCGAAAGCCUGAUGGAGCAACGCCGCGUGCAGGAUGAAGGCCUUCGGGUCGUAAACUGCUUUUAUUGGUGACGAUUAUGACGGUAGCCAAUGAAUAAGGAUCGGCUAACUCCGUGCCAGCAGCCGCCGUAA